RNAcentral lists this ribosomal RNA (457 nucleotides) under uncultured organism. Its description in RNAcentral is "bacterial SSU rRNA". It matches the Rfam family "Bacterial small subunit ribosomal RNA", at positions 346 to 794 of the family's 1533-position model. The record is from RNAcentral.
GCGCAGCAGGCGAGAAUUUUUCUCAAUGGGGGCAACCCUGAAGGAGCGACGCCGCGUGGAGGAUGAAGGCUUUCGGGUUGUAAACUCCUGUCAUUUGGGAACAAGUUGGACGCAGUAACUACGCGUCCAUUGAUAGUACCAGAAGAGGAAGGGACGGCUAACUCUGUGCCAGCAGCCGCGGUAAUACAGAGGUCCCAAGCGUUGUUCGGAUUCAUUGGGCGUAAAGGGUGCGUAGGUGGCGCCGUAAGUGGGGUGUGAAAUUUCGGAGCUUAACUCCGAAACUGCAUUCCAUACUGCGGUGCUUGAGGACUGGAGAGGAGACUGGAAUUCAUGGUGUAGCAGUGAAAUGCGUAGAGAUCAUGAGGAAGACCAGUGGCGAAGGCGGGUCUCUGGACAGUUCCUGACACUGAGGCACGAAGGCCAGGGGGAGCGAAACGGGAUUAGAUACCCCUGUAGU